Molecule: transfer RNA, 74 nt
Filed under: bacterium
Lineage: Bacteria
Also listed under: 1 other name
Description: tRNA-Met
Rfam family: tRNA
About the family: Transfer RNA (tRNA) molecules are approximately 80 nucleotides in length.
Source: RNAcentral
UGCGGGGUGGAGCAGUCUGGCAGCUCGUGAGGCUCAUAACCUCAAGGUCGCUGGUUCAAAUCCAGCCCCCGCUA